Non-coding RNA from Cinara cedri, 365 nucleotides. Lineage: Eukaryota; Metazoa; Arthropoda; Insecta; Hemiptera; Aphididae. The record is from the annotation of a GenBank genome assembly.
CAUGAGAACUCCUUAAUUAUUGUGAAAAAUCUAAGUAUUCGAAAAUAUCGGCUUAUCAAUGAAUUAUCAAUGAAAUGCUUUUUAGGGAUUACAACUUUCAACCUCUCCCCCGACCAUUUUAAUAUACGCCUAAAAACUCGUACAGUUAAAUUGCGGAAACAAAAUGAAUGAGCGUAACGGCAACAAGUCGGCCGUGAGAAAUGUCGACUUAUGUGACAGAGCUCACAGGCGUUUUUAGUUUGUUCCGUUGAAUUCUGACAGUUAACUUUGAAAUAAUGUUAUAAAAUUGAAAUCCAUAACAACACGGCACGCGUGUACGUUUAUUAUGCACUUAAUAAAACACUAUCUGGGUACGAUAAGAUAAC